RNAcentral lists this ribosomal RNA (325 nucleotides) under uncultured eukaryote. RNAcentral describes it as "partial 18S ribosomal RNA". It matches the Rfam family "Eukaryotic small subunit ribosomal RNA", at positions 1470 to 1796 of the family's 1831-position model. The record is from RNAcentral.
CCCUUAGAUGUUCUGGGCGGCCCGCGCACUACAUUGGCACUGGCAACAAGAUCCUAGAUCUGGUAUUUCGGGGUAUUCUACCAACUGGUGUCGUGACUGGGAUCAACCCCUGCAAUUAUUGGUUAUGAACGAGGAAUUCCUUGUAAUCACGGUUUAUCAACCCGUGUUGAAUGCGUCCCUGCCCUUUGUACACACCGCCCGUCGCUCCUACCGAUUGAAUGAUCCGAUGAAUACCAUGGAUUGAGAGUACGAAUAGGUUCGCUUAUUUCUGCUGCUCGAGAAGUGGAGUAAAUCUUAUCAUUUAGAGGAAGGAGAAGUCGUAACA